CUACCAUAUAUUUGUUGUAAAAUUGGACCAAAUAAUUUUUCUAAAAUACUAGGCCAUAUUUAAUGUACAAUUGUCCCAAUGGUUGGGUGUCAAAAGCUUUUAUCCACCACUCGUGAAAAAGACAAAUUAUCGUCCAUUCACUUGGAAGCGGGUCAAAUUUGAACUGCAGUUGCAUUAUAGAUUGGUCUUUAUUUUUUCCAAAAAUCAUUUAUAAAUACAAAAGUAUCUAUUUUAUCACAGAAACACCAUAAUUUUUCCAAGAUUCAACCACUAGCUAGGAACGGUCAUACCCGCUGUUUUGACCACAUUUCGAAAUAAGCAUGAAAAAUUGAAAAAUAAUUCAAAAAAUGGAAAAAAC
Molecule: long non-coding RNA, 358 nt
Filed under: Hordeum vulgare
Lineage: Eukaryota; Viridiplantae; Streptophyta; Magnoliopsida; Poales; Poaceae
Description: long non-coding RNA (HVUL_LNC012085)
Source: RNAcentral